Molecule: ribosomal RNA, 458 nt
Filed under: uncultured bacterium
Lineage: Bacteria
Description: partial 16S ribosomal RNA
Rfam family: Bacterial small subunit ribosomal RNA
Source: RNAcentral
CCUACGGGAGGCAGCAGUGGGGAAUAUUGCACAAUGGGGGAAACCCUGAUGCAGCGACGCCGCGUGAGUGAAGAAGUAAUUCGUUACGUAAAGCUCUAUCAGCAGGGAAGAAAUACUGACCUUACGGUCAGCAGACGGUACCUGAGUAAGAAGCCCCGGCUAACUACGUGCCAGCAGCCGCGGUAAUACGUAGGGGGCAAGCGUGAUCCGGGUUUACUGGGUGUAAAGGGGGCGUAGACGGUGCGCCAAGUCUGGAGGGAAAUGCCGCGGCUUAACUGCGGAACUGCUUUGGAAACUGGCGAACUAGAGUGCGGGAGGGGUAAGCGGAAUUCCUAGUGUAGCGGUGAAAUGCAUAGAUAUUAGGAGGAACACCGGUGGCGAAGGCGGCUUACUGGACCGUAACUGACGUUGAGGCUCGAAAGCGUGGGGAGCAAACAGGAUUAGAUACCCUAGUAGUC